This 566-nucleotide long non-coding RNA is filed under the name Homo sapiens (human). Its description in RNAcentral is "non-protein coding lnc-FKBP1A-3:1". Lineage: Eukaryota; Metazoa; Chordata; Mammalia; Primates; Hominidae. The record is from RNAcentral.
GGGUAAAUAGAGGUUGCCUUUGGCACCAUCUGCUGGCUUCUUUACUUCAUCCUGGGACCAGGAAGUAAGUCCGCUGGUCUCCUAAGUCGCCUCCGCAGGCAUAGAAAUGGGAACUUCUCUUUUGCUCCCCACAAAACAACCAGAGCGUGGAACAUAUGAAGUAAAGAAUAAUAUUUAUUGAAUGAAGACAUGAAUUUAACCCUGCAGGCCUAGGUGGGAGCUUCCAGUGCCUCUUGUCAUCAUUCUGGUAUGUCCAGGAAGUGGGAGGUGGCACCAAUGUGUAGCCACCCUGCCUGAGCCCACCAGCCUUGGAGUCAGAACACCCUGGGGUAAAUCCUGGCUCAGCUCUUCUCAGCUAUGUGAUCUCGGCUACAGGGCAAGGCUUAACCACUGCUGACCUAAGUCUUGGAGGGAUACCCCAUGGUCACCCAGAUCAUGAGAAGUCAGGCCACCACCACUGAGCCAUGUGGUUAUCCCAUCCAGCCUGCCACCACUGGACUGUAUGUACCGCAGUUCUCCUAUCCAGCCCACCACCACUGGACUCUCUCUCCUGUAUGUAAGCCCCA